This 831-nucleotide ribosomal RNA is filed under the name uncultured organism. Its description in RNAcentral is "bacterial SSU rRNA". It matches the Rfam family "Bacterial small subunit ribosomal RNA", at positions 504 to 1336 of the family's 1533-position model. The record is from RNAcentral.
CGUGCCAGCAGCCGCGGUAAUACGGAGGAGGCAAGCGUUAUCCGGAAUUAUUGGGCGUAAAGCGUCCGUAGGUGGUUAUUCAAGUCUGCUGCCAAAGCGUGGGGCUUAACUCCAUAGAGGCAGUGGAAACUGAGUGACUAGAGUGCGGUAGGGGUCGAGGGAAUUCCCAGUGUAGCGGUGAAAUGCGUAGAUAUUGGGAAGAACACCAGUGGCGAAAGCGCUCGACUGGGCCUGCACUGACACUGAGGGACGAAAGCUAGGGGAGCGAAAGGGAUUAGAUACCCCUGUAGUCCUAGCCGUAAACGAUGGAUACUAGGUGUUGCUCGUCAUCGACCCGAGCAGUGCCGUAGCCAACGCGUUAAGUAUCCCGCCUGGGGAGUACGCUCGCAAGAGUGAAACUCAAAGGAAUUGACGGGGGCCCGCACAAGCGGUGGAGUAUGUGGUUUAAUUCGAUGCAACGCGAAGAACCUUACCAGGGCUUGACAUGUCCGGAACCUUGCCGAGAGGUGAGGGUGCCUUCGGGAGCCGGAACACAGGUGGUGCAUGCUGUCGUCAGCUCGUGUCGUGAGAUGUUGGGUUAAGUCCCGCAACGAGCGCAACCCACGUUCUUAGUUGCCAGCAUUGAGUUGGGCACUCUAGGGAGACUGCCGGUGACAAACCGGAGGAAGGUGUGGAUGACGUCAAGUCAGCAUGCCCCUUACGUCCUGGGCUACACACGUACUACAAUGCUGUGGACAAAGGGCAGCCAGCCAGCGAUGGUGAGCUAAUCCCAGAAACCACGGCUCAGUUCAGAUUGCAGGCUGCAACUCGCCUGCAUAAGGAGGAAUCGCU